RNAcentral lists this transfer RNA (72 nucleotides) under Hypoxylon rubiginosum. RNAcentral's name for it is "tRNA-Sec". Lineage: Eukaryota; Fungi; Ascomycota; Sordariomycetes; Xylariales; Hypoxylaceae. The record is from RNAcentral.
GAUUUCGUGGUGUAGUUGGUAAUCACAUCAGUCUCACACUGAAGAUCUCCAGUUCGAACCUGGACGAAAUCA